Molecule: long non-coding RNA, 318 nt
Organism: Dermochelys coriacea (leatherback sea turtle)
Lineage: Eukaryota; Metazoa; Chordata; Testudines; Dermochelyidae
Exons: 3
Source: RefSeq, a predicted model, not a curated record
CUUGCAGGUUCUUCACAAGGCCUAUGCAGACAGCCUGGACAUUAUGCUGAGGAGCCUGCUCACAGAAACCCUCACCAUGGACAAGCUGUAGCACCUCUUGGAGAGUGACGGAAGAGAGAGUGAGAUCCAUAUGGAGCAGCACUGCCCUACUUCAAUACACUACCUGCCUCCCAUGAUUUGAUAGCUCAUCUAACUUCCCCAAGGUGGGAUAUCUUGUGGCACAGCUGGGUCUCUAUAUCACUGACCCAGCAUGUGACAUCAGCUGCAAUCCAGGGAGGGGAUUUACAGGAUCUACCAGCUACUGCUGCAGAAGAGGGG